CGUGAUGGGGUUAUCCCGAGUGCCGUCCGAUGAGGAUGGCUUUUCAUNNGUGUAAGGAUCCGAUGGAAUAAAGGGGGGGCAAGACUGGUGUCAGCCGCCGCGGUAAUACCAGCCCCNUGAGUGGUAGGGANGAUUAUUUGGCNUAAAGCGUUCGUAGCCGGCUUAUCAAGUCUUUUGUUAAAUCCAGCGAUUCAAUCGUUGGGCCGCAAAAGAUACUGUUAUGNUAGAGGACGGGAGAGGUCGACGGUAGUCCAGGGGUAGGGGUGAAAUCCUAUAAUCCUUGGAGGACCACCAGUGGCGAAGGCGGUCGACUAGAACGUGCCUGACGGUGAGGGACGAAAGCUGGGGGAGCGAACCGGAUUAGAUACCCGGGUAGUCCCAGCCGUAAACGAUGCGGGCUAGGUGUUGGGGCAGCCACGAGCUGCUCCAGUGCCGCAGAGAAGUUGUUAAGCCCGCCGCCUGGGGAGUACGGCCGCAAGGCUGAAACUUAA
This 491-nucleotide ribosomal RNA is filed under the name uncultured archaeon. RNAcentral's name for it is "bacterial SSU rRNA". It matches the Rfam family "Archaeal small subunit ribosomal RNA", at positions 366 to 859 of the family's 1478-position model. The record is from RNAcentral.